RNAcentral lists this ribosomal RNA (645 nucleotides) under uncultured bacterium. Its description in RNAcentral is "bacterial SSU rRNA". It matches the Rfam family "Bacterial small subunit ribosomal RNA", at positions 874 to 1480 of the family's 1533-position model. The record is from RNAcentral.
CGCAGUCGCGCACACAACCGUUUAACGCAUUCCUUUAUUGGGAGUACGCUCGCAAGAUUAAACCUCAACGUAACUGACGGGGCCAUGCACAAGCGGUGGAGCAUGUGGUUGAAUUCGAAGCAACGCGCAGAACCUUACCACCCCUUGACAUGUCGUGCCAUCCGGAGAGAUCCGGGGUUCCCUUCGGGGACGCGAACACAGGUGCUGCAUGGCUGUCGUCAGCUCGUGUCGUGAGAUGUUGGGUUAAGUCCCGCAACGAGCGCAACCCACGUCCUUAGUUGCCAUCAUUCAGUUGGGCACUCUAGGGAGACUGCCGGUGAUAAGCCGCGAGGAAGGUGUGGAUGACGUCAAGUCCUCAUGGCCCUUACGGGAUGGGCUACACACGUGCUACAAUGGCGGUGACAGUGGGACGCGAAACCGCGAGGUCAAGCAAAUCCCCAAAAACCGUCUCAGUUCAGAUUGCACUCUGCAACUCGAGUGCAUGAAGGCGGAAUCGCUAGUAAUCGUGGAUCAGCAUGCCACGGUGAAUACGUUCCCGGGCCUUGUACACACCGCCCGUCACACCAUGGGAGUUGGUCUUACCCGAGCGGCGCUGCGCCAACCGCAAGGAGGCAGGCUUAUCUACGGUAGGACUUAGGACGGCAG